RNAcentral lists this transfer RNA (71 nucleotides) under Pusa sibirica (Baikal seal). RNAcentral describes it as "transfer RNA-Thr". The record is from RNAcentral. Lineage: Eukaryota; Metazoa; Chordata; Mammalia; Carnivora; Phocidae.
GUCUUUGUAGUAUACUACAUUACCUUGGUCUUGUAAACCAAAAAUGGAGGACAUAGCCCCUCCCUAAGACU